This 460-nucleotide ribosomal RNA is filed under the name uncultured bacterium. RNAcentral describes it as "partial 16S ribosomal RNA". It matches the Rfam family "Bacterial small subunit ribosomal RNA", at positions 338 to 795 of the family's 1533-position model. The record is from RNAcentral.
CCUACGGGUGGCAGCAGUGAGGAAUAUUGGGCAAUGGGCGAGAGCCUGAACCAGCAAAGUCGCGUGAGGGAAGACGGUUCUACGGAUUGUAAACCUCUUUUGUCAGGGAGCAAGGAGCGCCACGAGUGGUGCGGCGAGAGUACCUGAAGAAAAAGCAUCGGCUAAAUCCGUGCCAGCAGCCGCGGUAAUACGGAGGAUGCGAGCGUUAACCGGAUUUAUUGGGUUUAAAGGGUGCGCAGGCGGAAGCGGCAAGUCAGCGGUAAAAUUGCGGGGCUAACCCUCGCCGAGCCGGUGACACUGCUCUACUAGAGUGGGCGAGAGGUAAGCGGAAUGCGUGGUGUAGCGGUGAAAUGCAUAGAUAUCACGAAGAACUCCGAUUGCGAAGGCAGCAUACCGGCGCCCAACUGACGCUCAUGCACGAAAGCGUGGGUAUCGAACAGGAUUAGAUACCCGAGUAGUC